GUUUAAUAGCUGUGUUCAGUAGCUCAGUGUUUAAUAGCUCAGUGUUUAAUAGCUGUGUUCAGUAGCUCAGUGUUUAAUAGCUCAGUGUUUAAUAGCUGUGUUCAGUAGCUCAGUGUUUAAUAGCCGUGUUCAGUAGCUCAGUGUUUAAUAGCUGUGUUCAGUAGCUCAGUGUUUAAUAGCUCAGUGUUUAAUAGCUGUGUUCAGUAGCUCAGUGUUUAAUAGCUGUGUUCAGUAGCUCAGUGUUUAAUAGCUGUGUUCAGUAGCUCAGUGUUUAAUAGCUGUGUUCAGUAGCUCAGUGUUUAAUAGCUGUGUUCAGUAGCUCAGUGUUCAGUAGCUCAGUGUUUAAUAGCCGUGUUCAGUAGCUCAGUGUUCAGUAGCUCAGUGUUUAAUAGCUGUGUUCAGUAGCUCAGUGUUUAAUAGCCCCGUGUUCAGUAGCUCAGUGUUCAGUAGCUCAGUGUUCAGUAGCUCAGUGUUUAAUAGCCGUGUUCAGUAGCUCAGUGUUCAGUAGCUCAGUGUUUAAUAGCCGUGUUCAGUAGCUCAGUGUUUAAUAGCUCAGUGUUUAAUAGCCGUGUUCAGUAGCUCAGUGUUUAAUAGCUCAGUGUUUAAUAGCCGUGUUCAGUAGCUCAGUGUUCAGUAGCUCAGUGUUUAAUAGCCGUGUUCAGUAGCUCAGUGUUCAGUAGCUCAGUGUUUAAUAGCCGUGUUCAGUAGCUCAGUGUUUAAUAGCUCUGUGUUCAGUAGCUCAGUGUUCAGUAGCUCAGUGUUUAAUAGCCGUGUUCAGUAGCUCAGUGUUCAGUAGCUCAGUGUUUAAUAGCUGUGUUCAGUCGCUCAGUGUUCAGUAGCUCAGUGUUUAAUAGCUGUGUUCAGUCGCUCAGUGUUCAGUAGCUCAGUGUUUAAUAGCUGUGUUCAGUAG
Molecule: long non-coding RNA, 910 nt
Organism: Ictalurus punctatus (channel catfish)
Lineage: Eukaryota; Metazoa; Chordata; Actinopteri; Siluriformes; Ictaluridae
Source: Ensembl